This 390-nucleotide unclassified non-coding RNA is filed under the name soil metagenome. Its description in RNAcentral is "partial contains 5.8S ribosomal RNA, internal transcribed spacer 2, and large subunit ribosomal RNA". The stretch from base 1 to 122 matches the Rfam family "5.8S ribosomal RNA", at positions 35 to 154 of the family's 154-position model. The record is from RNAcentral.
GAUGAAGAACGCAGCGAAAUGCGAUACUUGGUGUGAAUUGCAGAAUCCCGUGAACCAUCGAGUCUUUGAACGCAAGUUGCGCCCGAAGCCAUUAGGCCGAGGGCACGCCUGCCUGGGCGUCACACGUCGUUGCCCCCCCAUCUACUCCUUCGGGAUUGCGGGGGGCGGAUGAUGGCCUCCCGUGCGCCUCGCCGCGCGGUUGGCAUAAAUGCCAAGUCCUCGGCGACGCACGCACGACAAUCGGUGGUUGCGAAACCUCGGUUGCCCGUCGUGUGCGGUCGUCGCGCAUCGAGGGCUCGAAAAAAUUGCCGGGUUCCGGCUCGGCUUUCAACGCGACCCCAGGUCAGGCGGGGUUACCCGCUGAAUUUAAGCAUAUCAAUAAGCGGAGGA